UUACCAAGGCGAUGAUGCAUAGCCGAGUUGAGAGACUGAUCGGCCACAUUGGGACUGAGACACGGCCCAAACUCCUACGGGAGGCAGCAGUAGGGAAUCUUCCACAAUGGACGCAAGUCUGAUGGAGCAACGCCGCGUGAGUGAAGUAAGGUUUUCGGAUACGUAAAGCUCUGUUGUUGGUGAAGAAGGAUAGAGGUAGUAACUGGUCCUUUAUUUGACGGUAAUCAACCAAGAAAGUCACGGCUAACUACGUGCCAGCACGCCGCGGUAAAU
RNAcentral lists this ribosomal RNA (273 nucleotides) under uncultured Lactobacillus sp. RNAcentral describes it as "partial 16S ribosomal RNA". It matches the Rfam family "Bacterial small subunit ribosomal RNA", at positions 265 to 525 of the family's 1533-position model. The record is from RNAcentral. Lineage: Bacteria; Bacillati; Bacillota; Bacilli; Lactobacillales; Lactobacillaceae.